GUGACUGCUUUAUUGCAUUUUUUCCAGGGGUGAGCUCUGCCUGUCUCGGGAGACCUCCUUGAUGCCAGCCUCUUUUCUUCAGACCUGCCAUCUGCUCCAGUGAAUAAUUCUACCAAGCGUGUUUCCCAUGAUUUCCCUCAUUAUGUCUCAACAUCCUUCACACAAGAUCUGUAG
This 174-nucleotide long non-coding RNA is filed under the name Cavia porcellus (domestic guinea pig). Its description in RNAcentral is "lncRNA (ENSCPOG00000033536.1)". Lineage: Eukaryota; Metazoa; Chordata; Mammalia; Rodentia; Caviidae. The record is from RNAcentral.